GAUGAACGCUGGCGGCGUGCUUAACACAUGCAAGUCGAACGGGAAUUACUUUAUUGAAACUUCGGUCGAUAUGAUUUAAUUCUAGUGGCGGACGGGUGAGUAACGCGUGGGUAACCUGCCUUGUACAGGGGGAUAACAGUCAGAAAUGACUGCUAAUACCGCAUAAGCGCACAGAGCUGCAUGGCUCGGUGUGAAAAACUCCGGUGGUAUAAGAUGGACCCGCGUUGGAUUAGCUAGUUGGUGAGGUAACGGCCCACCAAGGCGACGAUCCAUAGCCGGCCUGAGAGGGUGAACGGCCACAUUGGGACUGAGACACGGCCCAGACUCCUACGGGAGGCAGCAGUGGGGAAUAUUGCACAAUGGGGGAAACCCUGAUGCAGCGACGCCGCGUGAAGGAAGAAGCAUCUCGGUAUGUAAACUUCUAUCAGCAGGGAAGAAAAUGACGGUACCUGACUAAGAAGCCCCGGCUAA
This 471-nucleotide ribosomal RNA is filed under the name uncultured bacterium. Its description in RNAcentral is "bacterial SSU rRNA". It matches the Rfam family "Bacterial small subunit ribosomal RNA", at positions 28 to 500 of the family's 1533-position model. The record is from RNAcentral.